UACGUAGGGUGCAAGCGUUAAUCGGAAUUACUGGGCGUAAAGCGUGCGCAGGCGGCUAUGCAAGACAGAUGUGAAAUCCCCGGGCUCAACCUGGGAACUGCAUUUGUGACUGCAUGGCUAGAGUACGGCAGAGGGGGAUGGAAUUCCGCGUGUAGCAGUGAAAUGCGUAGAUAUGCGGAGGAACACCGAUGGCGAAGGCAAUCCCCUGGGCCUGCACUGACGCUCAUGCACGAAAGCGUGGGGAGCAAACAGG
RNAcentral lists this ribosomal RNA (253 nucleotides) under uncultured bacterium. RNAcentral's name for it is "partial 16S ribosomal RNA". It matches the Rfam family "Bacterial small subunit ribosomal RNA", at positions 524 to 776 of the family's 1533-position model. The record is from RNAcentral.